RNAcentral lists this ribosomal RNA (497 nucleotides) under uncultured bacterium. RNAcentral describes it as "partial 16S ribosomal RNA". It matches the Rfam family "Bacterial small subunit ribosomal RNA", at positions 28 to 507 of the family's 1533-position model. The record is from RNAcentral.
GAUGAACGCUGGCGGCGUGCCUAAUACAUGCAAGUCGAGCGAACAGACGAUGCUCUUGCUCCUCUCACGUUAGCGGCGCACGUGUGAGUCACACGUGUAUAACCUACCUAUCAUACUGGUAUCACUUCGGGACACCGGCUCUAAUCCCGUAUAAUCUCUUGCACCGCAUUGUUCAAUAGUGAAAUUCGGUUUUUCUGUCACUUCUCGCUGCUUCCCGGCCGCUUUGGAUAGUUGGUAAGGUAACGGCUUACCAAGGCAACGAUGCGUAGACGACCGACCAGGGUGAUAGGCGACACUGGAAGUGAGACACGGUCCAGAGGACUAAGGGAGGAAGCAGUAGGGAAUCUGACGCAAUGGGCGAAAGCAUGACGGAGCAACGCCGAGUGAGUGAUGAAGGUCUUCGGAGCGUAAAACUCUGUUAUUAGGGAAGAACAAAUGUGUAAGUAAAUAUGCAGGUAUUGACGGUAACGAAUAAGAAAGCCACGGCUAACUACGUG